GAACGCUGGCGGCGUGCCUAAUACAUGCAAGUCGAGCGAACAGAUGAGGAGCUUGCUCCUCUGACGUUAGCGGCGGACGGGUGAGUAACACGUGGAUAACCUACCUAUAAGACUGGGAUAACUUCGGGAAACCGGAGCUAAUACCGGAUAAUAUAUUGAACCGCAUGGUUCAAUAGUGAAAGACGGUUUUGCUGUCACUUAUAGAUGGAUCCGCGCCGCAUUAGCUAGUUGGUAAGGUAACGGCUUACCAAGGCAACGAUGCGUAGCCGACCUGAGAGGGUGAUCGGCCACACUGGAACUGAGACACGGUCCAGACUCCUACGGGAGGCAGCAGUAGGGAAUCUUCCGCAAAGGGCGAAAGCCUGACGGAGCAACGCCGCGUGAGUGAUGAAGGUCUUCGGAUCGUAAAACUCUAUUAUUAGGGAAGAACAAAUGUGUAAGUAACUAUGCACGUCUUGACGGUACCUAAUCAGAAAGCCACGGCUAACUACGUG
RNAcentral lists this ribosomal RNA (494 nucleotides) under uncultured bacterium. Its description in RNAcentral is "partial 16S ribosomal RNA". It matches the Rfam family "Bacterial small subunit ribosomal RNA", at positions 31 to 507 of the family's 1533-position model. The record is from RNAcentral.